GACGAACGCUGGCGGCGUGCUUAACACAUGCAAGUCGAACGGUGAAGCGCCUUCCUUUUUGGUGGGUGUGGAUGAGUGGCGAACGGGUGAGUAACACGUGAGUAACCUGCCCCCUUCUUCUGGAUAACCGCAUGAAAGUGUGGCUAAUACGGGAUAUUCUGGGUCUGUCGCAUGAUGGGUCUGGGAAAGAUAUUGUUUCGGUGGGGGAUGGGCUCGCGGCCUAUCAGCUUGUUGGUGGGGUGAUGGCCUACCAAGGCGGUGACGGGUAGCCGGCCUGAGAGGGUGGACGGUCACACUGGGACGGAGACACGGCCCAGACGCAUACGGGAGGCAGCAGUGGGGAAUAUGGCACAAUGGGCGCAAGCCUGAUGCAGCGACGCCGCGUGAGGGGGGGAGGCCGUCGGGUGGGGAACCUCUUUCGCCAGUGAAGCAGGCCUGCCUCGUUUGUGGGUGGGUUGACGGUAGCUGGAUAAGAAGCGCCGGCUAACUACGU
Molecule: ribosomal RNA, 493 nt
Filed under: uncultured bacterium
Lineage: Bacteria
Description: partial 16S ribosomal RNA
Rfam family: Bacterial small subunit ribosomal RNA
Source: RNAcentral